ACUUCUUGGCUGCACCAGAAAUUCCCUUGGUCAUUCUUGCUUUACUUCUUUGUUUUCUUCCUUCUUUGUUCUUAUUGGUUGCACCUUUAUCUCUUCUUUGACUUUCUCAAAGAAAGAAGACUCAAGAAGCUCCCCCUCUCUUUUCCCACGGGUCCAAUUAAAUCAGAAAAUUCUCACUUCACUUUUCUCUCUUUUGUCUUAAGGAAAGUGCUUGGAAGCUCUAUUGAGUCUUCCCUCAAGUCCACAGGUUCACACACCAAAAGAAAACUCAAUUCUUCUUCAUAUUCUCUCUAAGGAACCAGAAAACUCUCUCAAGCUCUCUACCAUUCUUUCAUGAGUGGUUCUAUGUCUAUUUUUCCCCUCAAGAAACAUAAACUUGGUGUUACCAGUAUCCAAGUCUAAGCUCCUUCGACUUUAGGCUCUCGGUUCCUCUGCUUUCAAUUAGCAGGUUUUAUUUUGGAGCAAAGGGAGCCUUAGCCGAGUUUGAAAGGAGCUGGUUUUAGUUUUAUAUGUAUAGAUCCUAAAUUAGCAAUUCGAUGUUUAGCUUUGUAGUAUUGUGUAUUUUAGGA
This is a long non-coding RNA of Quercus lobata, 569 nucleotides long. RefSeq lists it as uncharacterized. The record is from RefSeq and is a predicted model, not a curated record. Lineage: Eukaryota; Viridiplantae; Streptophyta; Magnoliopsida; Fagales; Fagaceae. The transcript has 3 exons.